RNAcentral lists this ribosomal RNA (501 nucleotides) under uncultured bacterium. Its description in RNAcentral is "partial 16S ribosomal RNA". It matches the Rfam family "Bacterial small subunit ribosomal RNA", at positions 30 to 523 of the family's 1533-position model. The record is from RNAcentral.
AUUGAACGCUGGCGGCAGGCUAAACACAUGCAAGUCGAGCGGAGCGAGGGUGCUUGCACCUUAGCUUAGCGGCGGACGGGUGAGUAAUGCUUAGGAAUCUGCCUAUUAGUGGGGGACAACAUUCCGAAAGGAAUGCUAAUACCGCAUACGCCCUACGGGGGAAAGCAGGGGAUCUUCGGACCUUGCGCUAAUAGAUGAGCCUAAGUCGGAUUAGCUAGUUGGGGGGGUAAAGGCCUACCAAGGCGACGAUCUGUAGCGGGUCUGAGAGGAUGAUCCGCCACACAGGGACUGAGACACGGCCCAGACUCCUACGGGAGGCAGCAGUGGGGAAUAUUGGACAAUGGGCGGAAGCCUGAUCCAGCCAUGCCGCGUGUGUGAAGAAGGCCUUUUGGUUGUAAAGCACUUUAAGCGAGGAGGAGGCUACUUAGAUUAAUACUCUGGGAUAGUGGACGUUACUCGCAGAAUAAGCACCGGCUAACUCUGUGCCAGCCGCCGCAGUAA